This 497-nucleotide ribosomal RNA is filed under the name uncultured bacterium. RNAcentral describes it as "partial 16S ribosomal RNA". It matches the Rfam family "Bacterial small subunit ribosomal RNA", at positions 28 to 507 of the family's 1533-position model. The record is from RNAcentral.
GAUGAACGCUGGCGGCGUGCCUAAUACAUGCCAGUCGAGCGAACAGACGAGGAGCUUGCUCCUCUGACGUUAGCGGCGGACGGGUGAGUAACACGUGGAUAACCUACCUAUAAGACUGGGAUAACUUCGGGAAACCGGAGCUAAUACCGGAUAACAUGUUGAACCGCAUGGUUCAACAGUGAAAGACGGUCUUGCUGUCACUUAUAGAUGGAUCCGCGCCGCAUUAGCUAGUUGGUAAGGUAACGGCUUACCAAGGCAACGAUGCGUAGCCGACCUGAGAGGGUGAUAGGCCACACUGGAACUGAGACACGGUCCAGACUCCGACGGGAGGCAGCAGUAGGGAAUCUUCCGCAAUGGGCGAAAGCCUGACGGAGCAACGCCGCGUGAGUGAAGAAGGUCUUCGGAUCGUAAAACUCUGUUAUUAGGGAAGAACAAAUGUGUAAGUAACUAUGCACGUCUUGACGGUACCUAAUCAGAAAGCCACGGCUAACUACGUG